Long non-coding RNA from Globicephala melas (long-finned pilot whale), 1291 nucleotides. RefSeq lists it as uncharacterized. NCBI's taxonomy places the organism in Eukaryota, Metazoa, Chordata, Mammalia, Artiodactyla, Delphinidae. The record is from RefSeq and is a predicted model, not a curated record.
UCCCUGUCUCCUGCACUAGAGCCUCAGCUGCUCAAGGACAGGGAUUCUGUUUGUAUUGUUAGUGCCCUGUCCCCAGCAGGUGGCACAGUGCCGACACACAGUGGGUGCCCAACGACCGUGACUUGAACGAAUGGAUUGAUUGAUUGAUUGAUUGCCUCCAGGGCGCCCUGCCUGCUCUAGCUGCCAGUCUGGGCUUAGCCGGAGAAGAGUGUGAAGGGCUGAGGGUGGGCAGUGGCCCUCCCUCCUCCUCUGCCCUCUCCCACCAUGUCAGCCCCAAGGCCUCCACUGCGUCCAGAAGGUGGAGAUUCAGGGAUGUGGAUGCCUCCUCUGCAGCUCUAUUGAGAAGAUUCUAUUCGUUGAACAAAGCUUUAUUUUCCCAGGCACCCGAGGACUGCGGGGAACUGGGACCCUGAAACUUCAUUCCUCGGGGAAGGGAGCAGUGCAGCUGUUACGAGCAUCGAGUGUGGAGUCAGCUGCUUCGUGGCUGCGUGACAUCGGACUUCACAUCUCUGCGCCUCGGUUUCCCUCAGCGAGCGUAGGGACACUGGAGCUUGUGCAGAUAGAUGUGCAAGGCCCGGAUCAAGGAAGGGUGAGCUUGGGGCUCUGAGGCACGUGGCCACAGGCCUAGGACCGGAGUUGUGGACUGGAGUUGUGGAGUCUCGGCAGGGGUGUGGCCGGUGGGUCCAGCACCUUCGUGGUGCCGUCCCUCUGGGGGCUUCGGGCCCAUGCCUGUGCCUUAGGCCCCUCCUCAGAAUCUUGGUCUUAAAAGCAUCAAAUGACGCCCAGGAUGCCGAAGGAGCCAGUUAUCACAGUGGCUAAAAAGCACGUUUGUGAUAGGGUAAGAUGUGUGUUUUUUUCUGAACGCAUCGAUGAUAGUGUUGAGUGGCAGAUUUAAUCCCCACCAUAAUUUGGGGCCAGAGAUGGAUGUAAAUGACGCUUGCAGAGGUCUGUAACACCACGAGUGGGAUAUGAAUACAUCUGUGACUUUUCUGGGUAAUGAAGUCCUAGGCGCUGCCGCUGACACCAGCGUUUGCUGCCUCAAUUUACAGUGGAAGGAAACGGUACAUUUCAGCGGUGCCUGGUAGAAAUAGUGAUACUCUUCCCAUCAAACACACGGCCCCGGGUUCCAUCCCUGACAUUCCGCCUGCUCCCGCCCGCCCUGCCAGGAGGAGCGGCGACACCAAUAAUGCCACAGUCAGUGAUGGACGGUGACAAGUGGCACCAUCACUGGUCUUUAUGGGGGCUUUGCGCUGCGCCUCACGGCAGCUGUGUCUGCUCUUCCUGCUUCUUA